Molecule: ribosomal RNA, 639 nt
Filed under: Vibrio sp. g11-17
Lineage: Bacteria; Pseudomonadati; Pseudomonadota; Gammaproteobacteria; Vibrionales; Vibrionaceae
Description: bacterial SSU rRNA
Rfam family: Bacterial small subunit ribosomal RNA
Source: RNAcentral
CGAGCGGUAACAGGAAGUAGCUUGCUACUUCGCUGACGAGCGGCGGACGUGGUGAGUAAUGCCUGGGAAUAUGCCUUGAUGUGGGGGAUAACUAUUGGAAACGAUAGCUAAUACCGCAUAAUGCCUACGGGCCAAAGAGGGGGAUCUUCGGACCUCUCGCGUCAAGAUUAGCCCAGGUGGGAUUAGCUAGUUGGUGGGGUAAAGGCUCACCAAGGCGACGAUCCCUAGCUGGUCUGAGAGGAUGAUCAGCCACACUGGAACUGAGACACGGUCCAGACUCCUACGGGAGGCAGCAGUGGGGAAUAUUGCACAAUGGGGGAAACCCUGAUGCAGCCAUGCCGCGUGUAUGAAGAAGGCCUUCGGGUUGUAAAGUACUUUCAGCAGUGAGGAAGGUGGUAGUGUUAAUAGCACUAUCAUUUGACGUUAGCUGCAGAAGAAGCACCGGCUAACUCCGUGCCAGCAGCCGCGGUAAUACGGAGGGUGCGAGCGUUAAUCGGAAUUACUGGGCGUAAAGCGCAUGCAGGCGGUCUGUUAAGCAAGAUGUGAAAGCCCGGGGCUCAACCUCGGAACAGCAUUUUGAACUGGCAGACUAGAGUCUUGUAGAGGGGGGUAGAAUUUCAGGUGUAGCGGUGAAAUGCG